UGGUGGAUUGAUUUGUCUGGUUGAUUCCGAUAACGAACGAGAUCUCUGCAAGAUACCUGGUCUGACAGGGCCCUUUCCCUGCUCAGUCAGUUUCUGGACAGUGCAUGGCAAGUGCAAGGAAGUGGAGGCAAUAACA
RNAcentral lists this ribosomal RNA (136 nucleotides) under uncultured eukaryote. RNAcentral describes it as "partial 18S ribosomal RNA". It matches the Rfam family "Eukaryotic small subunit ribosomal RNA", at positions 1299 to 1458 of the family's 1831-position model. The record is from RNAcentral.